Long non-coding RNA from Xiphophorus hellerii (green swordtail), 587 nucleotides. RefSeq lists it as uncharacterized. NCBI's taxonomy places the organism in Eukaryota, Metazoa, Chordata, Actinopteri, Cyprinodontiformes, Poeciliidae. The transcript is spliced from 3 exons. The record is from RefSeq and is a predicted model, not a curated record.
AAUCAGAACAUUUUUAUUUCACAUUAAACUUAAUAUUUUUAAUCAGGAAUGUUUCUCAUAUCUGUUCUAUCCUGCAGCACAACAUUAUGGCUUCAGUUCAUAUUGACAUCCUCCGUCCAGUCAGAAAGUGUCAAAAAGACAAGAAGCUGAGUUCUGCAUUCAAGCAUAUUGAUGGGAAGUUAAUUGGAAGGAAAAACUCAGGAAGCCAGAGUGGAACAGAAGUGACCCACGAGGAAAAGCCAGAAGGGAGACACAGGAAGACAGCAGGGAAACGGGGAAGAAACGGAAGGAUCCAGCAAGGAGUGACUGAGAAAGAGGUGCGGUCGUCCAGAAACGCCUACGAUGACGCGCGUGUCCAAUCAUGUUGGAGUUGAUUUGGUUCGUCCAAUCAGGUGAGGCUGAUCUCCUUUGUGCUGCAGCAAUUCAAGCUAAAGGAGCCCAGACCAAACACUGAACACAUUUUAAAUCUGGGACCAGAUUUAUGAAUCCAAUCUAUUGGUGUGAUGUCAUAUUUUAUUUUAUAUGACAGUAUCUGUAAGCCAAAACCAUUAAAUGUAGGAAUAACAUGAAUGAAUUCACUUCAUUGA